CAGGAAUGCUAGAGGGAUUUAAAUGAAAUGACUGGAUCUGCACCUCCCAGACAAACAACUGGAUCACAUUAGCCUUAAAUAUUGUACAUGCUGAGCUGUUUCCUUUAUGCAGUGGAUUUUCUGCUCUGGGCAAUGAACAUAUCUGGGACUCUGUUCCUGACUAUUUUCCUUCAAAGAAACAUUUGCACUUCUUCAUUUUCCCCUGCGAGCAACCCAUGCUGUGGCCUACUGCAUUCUACAGCAUUCAUACUCCAUACAGGAUGAGAGAAACAAGCUAUGCACACUCUGCUUUCGCUUUCCCUAUACAAAAUCAACUAUGUGAAGAGGAGGCACUUUGAUAAUCAUGGAGGCGCUACGAGAAGAAAAGCUGCAUCCUGAAGAAAGAAAUGGUCAGUGUUUUCAGUCAACUUAAUCUGGAAAGCAAAGUUGUGAGAUGAAUAAAAAACUUGAAACCUGGCUGCUUGUGAAGAGAACAGGGCCCACAGUGAUGCUGUGUGCUGGAGAUACAGAGACUGUGAGAAGAGAGAGGAAAUUGCAAGCUACAGUAAGGUGAAAUAUUUUGACCUAUGAGGUUUUAGAUAAGAAGCCAUUCAAUCUGUGUUUAGAGGAAGGAGUCUUGAGAUCAGACAAAAAAUCUAAGGGGGUUAUAUUGCAUUUGCUGGCAUGGCUUUUACUGCAAAGUGGGUCUUUUUAGAUACCUCAUGAAAUUAAAUUUCCACAGUUGUUCAAAACAAGCACUCCCAACUUCUGUGCCACUAAGCCACACACAAACAUGUUUCAUGGCGUCAGCAAAAAGAAGGGGGCUUCCAAUGGCAGCUUACCUGGAAGUAGGCUUUGUAGUAGCAGGAGGAACCACAAGGACCAGCCAGCACUAUGACUGUG
Pogona vitticeps (central bearded dragon) is the source of this 882-nucleotide non-coding RNA. NCBI's taxonomy places the organism in Eukaryota, Metazoa, Chordata, Lepidosauria, Squamata, Agamidae. The record is from RefSeq and is a predicted model, not a curated record.